CUAGGCGACUUUAAACAAUUCUAGGAUCGCUAUGCAAGUCGGCCCACGUAUGUGGUGCCGGCGACACUUUCGAAUUGACGGGGAUACCCUAAAGCCUGUCGCACCAACUCUGUGUGGGAAACCGCUGGAGGGCCCGUGCUAACUACACGGGGUGGUAACAGACGACAUGGAUAACUCCACGCCUUUUUUGGUGUGGAUACCAUGGGCAAUCCGCAGCGAAGCCUCUAAGUCCGGCCGUCGGAUACGAGGAACGUUCACAGACUAAGUGGAAGUGGGUGGAGCGUUCGCCGCUCUGCUUAAGAUAUAGUCGGUCCCCUUGGGAAACUAAGGGGGUGAGUACACUGCUCGAAAUUUAAACUUGAGCGCGUCUCGGAUGGCGCUCAUGUUAGAAUUUUGAGACUGUCGAUUGCCUCGCGGUUUGACAGCUCUUAAAACGUUCCGUAGGUGAACCUGCGGAAGGAUCAUUACAGAAAGUAAACGCGGAUCAAACCGCGAACUUCUAAACCUUUGACGAUUGACUCAUGUUGCCUCGGCGGGUUCUCCCGCCAGAGGAUAGAUCAAAACUCCUGUUUUAACGGUGUUGUCUGAGCUACAAGCAACGAAUCAAAACUUUCAACAACGGAUCUCUUGGUUCUGGCAUCGAUGAAGAACGCAGCGAAAUGCGAUAAGUAGUGUGAAUUGCAGAAUUCAGUGAAUCA
Molecule: unclassified non-coding RNA, 698 nt
Filed under: uncultured fungus
Lineage: Eukaryota; Fungi
Description: sequence contains 18S rRNA gene, ITS1, 5.8S rRNA gene, ITS2, 28S rRNA gene
Rfam family: 5.8S ribosomal RNA (bases 608-698)
Source: RNAcentral